Molecule: ribosomal RNA, 373 nt
Filed under: uncultured organism
Description: bacterial SSU rRNA
Rfam family: Bacterial small subunit ribosomal RNA
Source: RNAcentral
CGGGGGAGCAAGCGUUGUUCGGAUUUACUGGGCGUAAAGGGCGCGUAGGCGGCCAGCGCAAGUCAGUUGUGAAAUCUCCGGGCUUAACUCGGAACGGUCAACUGAUACUGCGCGGCUAGAGUGCAGAAGGGGCAACUGGAAUUCUCGGUGUAGCGGUGAAAUGCGUAGAUAUCGAGAGGAACACCUGCGGCGAAGGCGGGUUGCUGGGCUGACACUGACGCUGAUGCGCGAAAGCCAGGGGAGCGAACGGGAUUAGAUACCCCGGUAGUCCUGGCCUAAAACGAUGGAUGCUUGGUGUCUGGAGUUUUAUAGUCUCCGGGUGCCGUAGCUAACGCGUUAAGCAUCCCGCCUGGGGAGUACGGUCGCAAGACUG